This 253-nucleotide ribosomal RNA is filed under the name uncultured bacterium. RNAcentral describes it as "partial 16S ribosomal RNA". It matches the Rfam family "Bacterial small subunit ribosomal RNA", at positions 524 to 776 of the family's 1533-position model. The record is from RNAcentral.
UACGUAGGUGACAAGCGUUGUCCGGAUUUACUGGGCGUAAAGAGCGCGCAGGCGGUCGAUCAAGUCGAGUGUGAAAGCCCCCGGCUCAACUGGGGAGGGUCAUUCGAUACUGAUCGACUCGAAGGCAGGAGAGGGUAGUGGAAUUCCCGGUGUAGUGGUGAAAUGCGUAGAUAUCGGGAGGAACACCAGUGGCGAAGGCAACUACCUGGCCUGUUCUUGACGCUGAGGCGCGAAAGCUAGGGGAGCAAACGGG